Vulpes vulpes (red fox) is the source of this 1747-nucleotide long non-coding RNA. The record is from Ensembl. NCBI's taxonomy places the organism in Eukaryota, Metazoa, Chordata, Mammalia, Carnivora, Canidae.
CGCAGACAGCACAAAGGAAACGAGGCAAGAAUGAUGCAGAUAGCACAAGGGCACAAUUCAUAUUGUGAAUCUCAUGGACAGGAUGUGGAAUGUGAGAGAGGGAGAAACCCAGGACACCUCUAAGGUGGAUGGUCCACAUAAGCACAAGUGGAAUAAAGAAGUCUAUCAUGGAACACUGGGGUGGAGGGCCUGAGGUGGAGGGGAAUCAUUUUGUUUCUAUAAGUUAAAUUUGAGAUGUCCAUUAGACACAGAAGUGAAAAGAUAACACCGAAGGUUCAACCAGGAGUGGACUCAGGUAGGGGAUCCUAGGCAGUGAGGUCACUUCUUUGACAACAGAGCCCAACAGAACUUGGAACCCCUGCAACCAGGCACCCACAUUCUAGUGCAGCCCCACAUCAGGCUCACUUGGCUGGAGACAUCCGCUAGUGAAAGAUGUUCUCUUGCUGCGUGCCAACUUCCCGGGGUUCUGGCUUCCAGAAACCCCAGGGAUGCGGCUUUUUCAAAUGCUGUAGACUUUGGUUCCACCGUCACACCCCUCGCCUCAAGGCAUUUGCCAGGAGGCGCCCUAAGAGCUCCACACAGGAGAUGGGGCAGGAAUGGGAGGAAGAAAUCCAGUGCUCCACCUCCUUGAUGAACAGGAAAGUGCCCUGCACAGCUAACAGAGGCCAGUGUGGACUCAAGGGCUAUUCAGCCAUCUGGAUCCAGCUGGAGGGAGAAGUGGCAGGCAGCUCCAGGAGAAAACUUCAGAACUUUACAAAAGGUUUUGAUUAAAGUUUGGAAAGAAGUAUCCAUUCCUUCUUUUCAUUUCUUCACAGCAGAUGUCUUUUUUUCUCAUUCUGCUAAUUUCUCCUUGGAUGUUCCUUCAUUCCUUAAUUUAAUCUUAUUUCCAUUUUUAGGGUUGCCUGUUCUUUCUCUACUGCCAUUUUCAUGGUCUCAAUCAUUCAGUCAUUUGGGGCCAUCAUUUUUUUUUUCACUUUCUCAAUCCUUCAUCCAUUCUUUCUGCCCACUUAUUCAUUAUCUGUUUUCCCACAGCUUUGGUUGCCAUGAUUAAUUUUAUCUCUAUUCCUUUCCAUUCUCUCAUUUCCUUGCACAUAAAAUGAAUAUCUCUAAUUUACUGUGUAAUCUUUUCUCUCAUUGACUACUUUAUUCCCCAUCUCAUUUGCCAUAUUUCCUCACUCCUCAUCCAUUCUUCAUCUCGUUUUACACAUUACCUCAUUCGUUCUGUCACUUUUCUCCCAUUUUCCUAUCCCUGCAGUUAAUUCUCACGAGCUUUUUCCUAUCCCUGCAGCUAAUUCUCAUUUUAUACUUUCUCUCCCCAUAAUCUUGAGCCUAAUUCCUUCUACAUCUAGAUUUUCAUUCUAUUAUCCAUUCUCUUUGCUUUGUAUUCACUCCAUUGAAACUAUACAGUAAAACUAUAAUGUCAUAAAUUAUUCUUUUUUCAAAACCAGGUGGAAAUUUAUCAGUCCAGCUGUGGCAUUCUCUUCUUCCUCACUCCCUCUUUUUGCUCUUUCAAUGGGUAAGUCAUGUUCACUCUGCCUUCUAAGGAUAUCACAGACCAGCCCACUCCCACAUGCCCCCUAUUCCCUUCUGUUCAAUCUCAGUUUGGAUUUUCUCCAAAGUGGAUCCUGAGGCAAGGAUUUGGAUACAAAUUAAUUUCAAUUUUUUGCUUUGUUUUGUUUUGGAAGUGGGAAAGUAAGAUAAGGAAGAAAGGAUAUAUAAUAAAGUGUGUGUGGUGUGCUGGUUACCA